ACCUCAGUUCUCUCUCUGAGGAAAUCCUUAAAGACAGUGAGCAGCAUGGUGAACUCAACUGAUCCUGCCAUAGAGGAGGUCGGGGAAAGCACCCUACUGC
This is a long non-coding RNA of Neomonachus schauinslandi (Hawaiian monk seal), 100 nucleotides long. RefSeq lists it as uncharacterized. NCBI's taxonomy places the organism in Eukaryota, Metazoa, Chordata, Mammalia, Carnivora, Phocidae. The transcript is spliced from 3 exons. The record is from RefSeq and is a predicted model, not a curated record.